RNAcentral lists this ribosomal RNA (468 nucleotides) under uncultured bacterium. Its description in RNAcentral is "partial 16S ribosomal RNA". It matches the Rfam family "Bacterial small subunit ribosomal RNA", at positions 28 to 507 of the family's 1533-position model. The record is from RNAcentral.
GACGAACGCUGGCGGCGUGCUUAACACAUGCAAGUCGAACGGAAAGGCCCUGCUUUUGUGGGGUGCUCGAGUGGCGAACGGGUGAGUAACACGUGAGUAACCUGCCCUUGACUUUGGGAUAACUUCAGGAAACUGGGGCUAAUACCGGAUAGGAGCUCCUGCUGCAUGGUGGGGGUUGGAAAGUUUCGGCGGUUGGGGAUGGACUCGCGGCUUAUCAGCUUGUUGGUGGGGUAGUGGCUUACCAAGGCUUUGACGGGUAGCCGGCCUGAGAGGGUGACCGGCCAAAUUGGGACUGGGGAACGGCCCAGACUCCUACGGGAGGCAGCAGUGGGGAAUAUUGCACAAUGGGCGGAAGCCUGAUGCAGCAACGCCGCGUGCGGGAAGACGGCCUUCGGGGUGUAAACCGCUUUCGCCUGUGACGAAGCGUGAGUGACGGUAAUGGGUAAAGAAGCACCGGCUAACUACGUG